This 165-nucleotide unclassified non-coding RNA is filed under the name uncultured Cladophialophora. Its description in RNAcentral is "sequence contains ITS2". The record is from RNAcentral. Lineage: Eukaryota; Fungi; Ascomycota; Eurotiomycetes; Chaetothyriales; Herpotrichiellaceae.
UCAACCAUCAAGCCUGGCUUGUCGUUGGACCUCUUUACUACUGAAAUAUGUGGUAGGUCCGAAAGAUAAUGACGGCGUCGUGUUUGACCCUAGAUGCAACGAGCUUUUUUAUAGCAAGCAUUGAUGUGGUCAGGCGACCCAGUCUUUAACCAUUAUUUUCUAAGG